CCUACGGGAGGCAGCAGUAGGGAAUAUUGCACAAUGGGGGAAACCCUGAUGCAGCGACGCCGCGUGAAUGAAGAAGUAUUUCGGUAUGUAAAGUUCUGUCAGCAGGGAAGAAAAUGACGGUACCUAACUAAGAGGCCACUGCUAACUACGUGCCAGCAGCCGCGGGAAGACGUAGGGGGCAAGCGUUCGCCGGAUUUACUGGGGGGAAAGGGAGCGGAGGCGGUUGUGCAAGUCAGAAGUGAAAGCCGGGGGCUUAACGCCGGGACUGCUUUUGAAACUGGGGAACUAGAGUGCAGGAGAGGUAAGCGGAAUUCCGAGUGUAGCGGUGAAAUGCGUAGAUAUUAGGAGGAACACCAGUGGCGAAGGCGGCUUACUGGACUGUAACUGACGCUGAGGCUCGAAAGCGUGGGGAGCAAACAGGAUUAGAUACCCGAGUAGUC
This 440-nucleotide ribosomal RNA is filed under the name uncultured bacterium. Its description in RNAcentral is "partial 16S ribosomal RNA". It matches the Rfam family "Bacterial small subunit ribosomal RNA", at positions 338 to 795 of the family's 1533-position model. The record is from RNAcentral.